This is a long non-coding RNA of Neofelis nebulosa (Clouded leopard), 1990 nucleotides long. RefSeq lists it as uncharacterized. Lineage: Eukaryota; Metazoa; Chordata; Mammalia; Carnivora; Felidae. The record is from RefSeq and is a predicted model, not a curated record. The transcript is spliced from 2 exons.
UACAAAUGAGAAUACUAAACGUAAAUUAUUUUUAUCAUUCUAUAUCUGGGAUAAGUUCCUAUAUCAGCACAUAACUUCAUUUCUUUUAAUGAAUGUUGCAUUAUAUGGAUGCACCUGAAUUUAGUUAAAUAACCAGGAUUUAUUUAAUAAUUAUUCAUUUGAAGAAUUAGUCAUUUAUUUAAGAACAUUUUCUAUAUUCAGGUAUGACUUUGUCUAAGUCACUUUGAUUCCACCUUGAUUCCACUCUUAGUCAACGUUUUCACAUAAUUAUGUGAACUAUCGGAAUCUUAAUUCAGAUGGUUUUCAGCCAGUUCUCGGGGUAUUGAAUGUAUUCCAGAGACUUCUUUGCUGCAAUAUACGUCAAUCAUCAAAACAAGCUUGUAGAGAGAGAGAGAGAGGCAGAGUGCAAGCAGGGGAGGGGCAGAGAAAAAGAGGGAGACACAAAACCCGAAGCAGGCUUCAGGCCCAGAGCUGUCAGCCCAGAGCCCGACGCGGGGCUUGAACUCGCAAAUGGUAAGAUCAUGACCCGAGCUGAAGUCGGAAGCUCAACCGACUGACCCACCCAGGCACCCCGGCAACAUUUUUUAGAAAGAACUUUUGACAUUGUUUUCCUGUAAGCAUUUGACAGGUGUUUUUAAUCACACAGUAUUCAUUAGUUGUUCACUUACAAUUUGGCACAUUUGCAUUAUGAAGCCUCAAGUGUUUUCAUUUCUAAAAAGGUCAGCACUGUGGGCUUAAGUCUUUUUCAAAGAUAAAUCCCAUUAAACUUUGCUUUACAAAAAAAUGAAAGAAGACCCACAAGAGCAAAACUGAGGAAGGAGAAAUCAACCAUUACACUAAAACCAGGAAGACCGAUUUAUCGCAGUUCAGUCCUUUGUUGCCACGAUGCCAGAAAAUGAGGUUGACACAUGUUCUUUAAAGAUUCUUCUUGUUUUUCUUUUGAAAUAAUCUCGAACUUACAGAAAAGCUGCAAGAACAGUACAAAGAAUAUUUUGUCAACCGUUUGGGUAAAGGUGGUCGACAUGACACUCCAUCACCCCCAAACACUUCAGUGUAUUGUUUCCGGCACAAAAAUGCAUUCUCCACAACCAUAAUACAGCCGUUAAAAUGAGAAUAUUCACACUGAUAACGUUAGCUCCGUCCAAUCCUCACAUCUCCAAGUUUUGCCGGUCGUUCCAAUUUUGCCCCUUAGAGCACAGGGAUCCCGAUAACAGUCAGGCAUCCCAUUGAGUUAACAGAUCUUGUGUGUCUCAUUUAGCCCGGAACGGUUCCUUGGUGUCCCUUUGACCGUCAUGCCCCUGACGCUUCUGAAGGUUCCAGGCACCGAAAUUUGGAUACUUUCCUUACCCCACGUGGGCUGCGGCACCUCAUUCAGGGCUGCCUCCUGCAAGCGUGCCCUCCUGCACGGAGACCCUCCACUUGGGCCGGACGCCCCAAGCCCUGCUGCCCUUGCCAUCGCAGUGACGCCACCUCACCCUGCUCGGGCUCCGGCACCCUGGCACCGGGGCCCCCACCCAGGCAGCACCCCUCACCCCACUGAGGCGACAGCACCUUGCGCCAGGCAGCCCCUCCACGGACACCCACCUCACCCUGCUCCGGUGCUGACAGCCUGCAAUGCGGACGUCGCGGCGCCCCACUCCCCGGGUGGCUGGUCUCACGCAAAGGCUGACUUGCUCAGGGAGAGAGGGAUCACGGGAAAAAGGACAAGCUUCGGAUGGUGUUCAGAAAAGCGUCUUAGUAUCUGUAGGUGAGUCGUAGCCGAACCGGCUGACGAACUUAAGUCCUUUUACUUAAGCAGAAAGCACAAACCGUAAGCACAAAAGCGUUCUCAUUUACAUCAUGAAUCCCAAAGGAGUAUUUUGAAGUGUUAAAACGGGUGGUCACAUUUGACUGUGAUUAUUUUAAAAACAUGCGCAGAGAAUUCACUCAGUCUUCAACAUUUUCUAUGUAUACACAAAAAUGAAACCAAUAAAAAUUAUCGUAUAAGACA